Molecule: small nucleolar RNA, 131 nt
Organism: Cervus hanglu yarkandensis (Yarkand deer)
Lineage: Eukaryota; Metazoa; Chordata; Mammalia; Artiodactyla; Cervidae
Source: Ensembl
GCAUGGGUUUGGAUUUAUGGCAGGUUGGCCCCCUGGGCCUCUCAUAGCAUCCUAUGACAGAGCUAACCAGCCCUAAACCAUUGCCUGGCCUCUGUCUGUAGGCUGCAGGCACUGAAGUGGGUUGCACAGUG